RNAcentral lists this ribosomal RNA (425 nucleotides) under uncultured bacterium. RNAcentral describes it as "bacterial SSU rRNA". It matches the Rfam family "Bacterial small subunit ribosomal RNA", at positions 958 to 1397 of the family's 1533-position model. The record is from RNAcentral.
AACGCGAAGAACCUUACCUGGGUUUGACAUGGGACUGCACCACGGGUAAUGCCGUGUCCGGUUCGCCGGCGGUUCCACAGGUGCUGCAUGGCUGUCGUCAGCUCGUGCCGUGAGGUGUUGGGUUAAGUCCCCUAACGAGCGCAACCCCUGGGGUCCGUUGUACUUUUCGGGCCCGACUGCCGCGCGCAACGCGGAGGAAGGUGGGGAUGACGUCAAGUCAGCACGGCCCUUACGUCCAGGGCGACACACACGCUACAAUGGCCGGUACAACGGGUUGCCAAGCCGCAAGGUGGAGCCAAUCCCCCAAAGCCGGUCUCAGUUCGGAUGGCAGGCUGCAACUCGCCUGCCUGAAGCCGGAGUUGCUAGUAACCGUGGGUCAGCACACCACGGUGAAUACGUUCCCGGGCCUUGUACACACCGCGAGC